Molecule: ribosomal RNA, 526 nt
Filed under: Melanohalea septentrionalis
Lineage: Eukaryota; Fungi; Ascomycota; Lecanoromycetes; Lecanorales; Parmeliaceae
Description: eukaryotic LSU rRNA
Rfam family: Eukaryotic large subunit ribosomal RNA
Source: RNAcentral
AAUUUGAAAUCUGGCCCUUUCGGGGUCCGAGUUGUAAUUUGUAGAGAGUGCUUCGGGUGAGACUGCGGUCUAAGUCCAUUGGAACAUGGCGUCCCAGAGGGUGAGAAUCCCGUAUGUGACCGCGGCUCGAGCCCAUGUGAAGCCUCUUCGACGAGUCGAGUUGUUUGGGAAUGCAGCUCUAAAUGGGUGGUAAAUUUCAUCUAAAGCUAAAUACUGGCUGGAGACCGAUAGCGCACAAGUAGAGUGAUCGAAAGAUGAAAAGCACUUUGGAAAGAGGGUUAAACAGUACGUGAAAUUGUUGAAAGGGAAGCGCUGGCAACCAGACCUGUCCGUAGGCGAUCACCCGUUGUUCUCAGCGGUGCACUCGUUCUGCGAUCAGGCCAGCAUCGGUUCGGGCGGGCGGAUAAAGGUCUUGGGAAUGUAGCUCCCUUUCGGGGGAGUCUUAUAGCCCUCGAUGCAAUGCGCCCAGCCGGGACCGAGGACCGCGCUUCGGCUAGGAUGCUGGCGUAAUGGUUGUCAGCGACCC